This 525-nucleotide ribosomal RNA is filed under the name uncultured bacterium. Its description in RNAcentral is "bacterial SSU rRNA". It matches the Rfam family "Bacterial small subunit ribosomal RNA", at positions 983 to 1509 of the family's 1533-position model. The record is from RNAcentral.
GACAUCCAGAGAACUUAGCAGAGAUGCUUUGGUGCCUUCGGGAACUCUGAGACAGGUGCUGCAUGGCUGUCGUCAGCUCGUGUUGUGAAAUGUUGGGUUAAGUCCCGNAACGAGCGCAACCCUUAUCCUUUGUUGCCAGCGGCUCGGCCGGGAACUCAAAGGAGACUGCCGGUGAUAAACCGGAGGAAGGUGGGGAUGACGUCAAGUCAUCAUGGCCCUUACGGCCAGGGCUACACACGUGCUACAAUGGCGCAUACAAAGAGAAGCGACCUCGCGAGAGCAAGCGGACCUCAUAAAGUGCGUCGUAGUCCGGAUUGGAGUCUGCAACUCGACUCCAUGAAGUCGGAAUCGCUAGUAAUCGUAGAUCAGAAUGCUACGGUGAAUACGUUCCCGGGCUUGUACACACCGCCCGUCACACCAUGGGAGUGGGUUGCAAAAGAAGUAGGUAGCUUAACCUUCGGGAGGGCGCUUACCACUUUGUGAUUCAUGACUGGGGUGAAGUCGUAACAAGGUAGGCGUACGUGU